This 259-nucleotide long non-coding RNA is filed under the name Lathyrus oleraceus (garden pea). RNAcentral describes it as "Pisum sativum (pea) long non-coding RNA (PSAT_LNC000590)". Lineage: Eukaryota; Viridiplantae; Streptophyta; Magnoliopsida; Fabales; Fabaceae. The record is from RNAcentral.
GUCAUUGAGAGGAAAAGGUAUCAGAAAGAGGACAAUAUAAGCUAUGUGGUUUUUUCGAAUAAGGUGGAGAUGUAUGGUAGAGGCUGAGAACGAAUUCCAUCUCUGCUUUUUCUUUUUUCUUCUUUUUUAGUUUUCUAUUUUUUUUUAGAUUAAGAAAGAGGAGUGACGGGCGGCUCUAUUUUCAUUGCAAAACAUUUAAGUCAUAUGCCAACAUAUUAGAGUUUUAAUUUUAAUCAAUCCCCAUAAUACCCUUGAGCCU